AGUGAACGCUGGCGGUAGGCCUAACACAUGCAAGUCGAACGGCAGCACAGUAAGAGCUUGCUCUUACGGGUGGCGAGUGGCGGACGGGUGAGGAAUACAUCGGAAUCUACUUUUUCGUGGGGGAUAGCGUAGGGAAACUUACGCUAAUACCGCAUACGACCUACGGGUGAAAGCAGGGGAACUUCGGACCUUGCGCGAUUGAAUGAGCCGAUGUCGGAUUAGCUAGUUGGCGGGGUAAAGGCCCACCAAGGCGACGAUCCGUAGCUGGUCUGAGAGGAUGAUCAGCCACACUGGAACUGAGACACGGUCCAGACUCCUACGGGAGGCAGCAGUGGGGAAUAUUGGACAAUGGGCGCAAGCCUGAUCCAGCCAUACCGCGUGGGUGAAGAAGGCCUUCGGGUUGUAAAGCCCUUUUGUUGGGAAAGAAAAGCAGCAGGUUAAUACCCCGCUGUUCUGACGGUACCCAAAGAAUAAGCACCGGCUAACUUCGUG
RNAcentral lists this ribosomal RNA (492 nucleotides) under uncultured bacterium. RNAcentral describes it as "partial 16S ribosomal RNA". It matches the Rfam family "Bacterial small subunit ribosomal RNA", at positions 29 to 507 of the family's 1533-position model. The record is from RNAcentral.